Ipomoea nil (Japanese morning glory) is the source of this 143-nucleotide long non-coding RNA. RefSeq lists it as uncharacterized. The transcript has 3 exons. Lineage: Eukaryota; Viridiplantae; Streptophyta; Magnoliopsida; Solanales; Convolvulaceae. The record is from RefSeq and is a predicted model, not a curated record.
ACCACGAACAAGAUAAAAUGAAUAUAAGUAGUACGAGAUUACCCAAAAGAUGUUUGGAAUAAAUACAAGCUGACCUUCAAAACAUUUGAUGAAUAUUGUACCCAACAAGUUCAGCAAACUCACGGCAAAAUAGCACCAAGAAG